Molecule: ribosomal RNA, 1372 nt
Filed under: uncultured bacterium
Lineage: Bacteria
Description: bacterial SSU rRNA
Rfam family: Bacterial small subunit ribosomal RNA
Source: RNAcentral
GAUGAACGCUGGCGGCGUGCCUAAUACAUGCAAGUCGAGCGAACGGACGAGAAGCUUGCUUCUCUGAUGUUAGCGGCGGACGGGUGAGUAACACGUGGAUAACCUACCUAUAAGACUGGGAUAACUUCGGGAAACCGGAGCUAAUACCGGAUAAUAUUUUGAACCGCAUGGUUCAAAAGUGAAAGACGGUCUUGCUGUCACUUAUAGAUGGAUCCGCGCUGCAUUAGCUAGUUGGUAAGGUAACGGCUUACCAAGGCAACGAUGCAUAGCCGACCUGAGAGGGUGAUCGGCCACACUGGAACUGAGACACGGUCCAGACUCCUACGGGAGGCAGCAGUAGGGAAUCUUCCGCAAUGGGCGAAAGCCUGACGGAGCAACGCCGCGUGAGUGAUGAAGGUCUUCGGAUCGUAAAACUCUGUUAUUAGGGAAGAACAUAUGUGUAAGUAACUGUGCACAUCUUGACGGUACCUAAUCAGAAAGCCACGGCUAACUACGUGCCAGCAGCCGCGGUAAUACGUAGGUGGCAAGCGUUAUCCGGAAUUAUUGGGCGUAAAGCGCGCGUAGGCGGUUUUUUAAGUCUGAUGUGAAAGCCCACGGCUCAACCGUGGAGGGUCAUUGGAAACUGGAAAACUUGAGUGCAGAAGAGGAAAGUGGAAUUCCAUGUGUAGCGGUGAAAUGCGCAGAGAUAUGGAGGAACACCAGUGGCGAAGGCGACUUUCUGGUCUGUAACUGACGCUGAUGUGCGAAAGCGCGGGGAUCAAACAGGAUUAGAUACCCUGGUAGUCCACGCCGUAAACGAUGAGUGCUAAGUGUUAGGGGGUUUCCGCCCCUUAGUGCUGCAGCUAACGCAUUAAGCACUCCGCCUGGGGAGUACGACCGCAAGGUUGAAACUCAAAGGAAUUGACGGGGACCCGCACAAGCGGUGGAGCAUGUGGUUUAAUUCGAAGCAACGCGAAGAACCUUACCAAAUCUUGACAUCCUUUGACAACUCUAGAGAUAGAGCCUUCCCCUUCGGGGGACAAAGUGACAGGUGGUGCAUGGUUGUCGUCAGCUCGUGUCGUGAGAUGUUGGGUUAAGUCCCGCAACGAGCGCAACCCUUAAGCUUAGUUGCCAUCAUUAAGUUGGGCACUCUAAGUUGACUGCCGGUGACAAACCGGAGGAAGGUGGGGAUGACGUCAAAUCAUCAUGCCCCUUAUGAUUUGGGCUACACACGUGCUACAAUGGACAAUACAAAGGGCAGCGAAACCGCGAGGUCAAGCAAAUCCCAUAAAGUUGUUCUCAGUUCGGAUUGUAGUCUGCAACUCGACUACAUGAAGCUGGAAUCGCUAGUAAUCGUAGAUCAGCAUGCUGCGGUGAAUACGUUCCCGGGUCU